UUUUCGCAAACGGGACGUGUUUCAGAUCAAUAACUCCAUUCGGCGUUCCUGGGAGAGAGGAGUUGUGGUGCCCGCGCAACACCAUCCUAGUCCUGGUCUCCAUUGCUGUUCCAGUUGCCGAACGAUACGGUCGUCUCGUCCGCGAAAAACACAAGAAUUUUCGAGCUUUUGCAUGCGGGAUCUCCUUACCCGCCAUCGCUGAGAGAGGGCCAUCAUACGCGGCCAUUUCGAUUCCGUGAAACGACACGGUGUAUGGUGUAAGAGAAAAGUGCCUCGGAUGAACAAGUACGCGCUUUUCGCUGUUGUUUGUUGCAUGUGGGGGUGAGCGUCGUUGUGAUGGGGCGGGGCCACAGCUCGCCCAUGGAGCUCGGCUAGAGUCGUGCGCCCCUGCCCGGCUGCCCCCCGCCCCCCCUCCCGCCUUCGCCCCGGCCCACUUAUGGAGCCGGACCAACGAGAACAACGCUGCAACAGGCCCAGCGCCUUUGAUAAAAUGGAGGGGCUGGUACGCAGCAUGCAGGACACGGAGCACGGGGGCGUUCCAGUCAGAAGCCAAAAGAUAUUUCUCACAUCCAUACCCGCCGCCUUCAUGGGGUACGACUUGAUCGAAUGGCUCAUGGAUAGACUCGGCAUCGAAGAAUCUGAGGCUCUCAACUUGGCCAAUCAGCUAUGCCAGUACGGUUACUUCUUCCCGGUCAGCGAUUCUAAGAACUUGGUGGUCAAGGAUGACAGUUCCCUGUACAGAUUCCAGUCGCCGUAUUAUUGGCCGGCGCAGAACAGAUCGCCCGAGCACAUGGAGUACGCCGUGUACCUGGUCAAGAGGACCCUGCGGAACAAACAGAGACACGGUCUCGAAGAAUACGAACUGGAGGCGUUGAGCAACCUGAAGAAGAACCUCGCCAACAAAUGGGAAUUCAUAACGAUGCAGGCGGAAGAACAAGUAAGCUAUGCUCCACCUACGAACCCGUUGAAGUUGUUGCGAUUACCGACGUUUCAGGUCAAGUUGGCCAAGGGUCUUAAGAAAGGCGACAAGGUCAUAUCGGACUCCCAGGAGAGAGCCUAUUGGAGGAUUCUGAGGCCCCCGCCCGGUAUGACCUCGUCGUUGGAGCAAUGUCCGGUGCCCACGAGAAAUUGGAACGGACAGAGGAGGAAGAAGACGCUGGAGAACGUCAAGAGAGAGGUGGAGUUUUUGAAGAAGAGUCUGACGCGUACGAGGAUCAAGGUGUCGCAGGCUCUGGAGGGCAUGAUACAGUACGUCGAGACCUACGCGGAAUACGACGCCCUCAUCACGCCCGCCCAACCAUCGAAUCCGUGGGUUUCCGAAGAUCUGACGUUUUGGCAGCUCAAUAGUCCCCUAGUCGAGGUGGCGACCGAAAAGAGGGUGAGACGAUGGGGAUUGUCGAUGGAGGAGCUGGUUUCCGAUCCGACCGGCAUCCAAGAGUUCACGAUCUACCUCAGCAAAGAGUUCAGUCACGAGAACAUCAGGUUCUGGAUGGCGGUCAACGAUCUCAGGAGGUCUGCGCAAUCGCAGGUACCCGCCAAGGUACAGGAGAUCUUCGACGAAUUCCUGAAACCGGGAGCUCAGUGCGAGAUCAACAUCGACGGCAAGACGAUGGAGAAGAUCCACCAGGAGAUGCAGAACCCCAGCAGGUUCACCUUCGACGCCGCUCAAGAUCACAUCUACACGUUACUGCUCAAGAAGGACUGCUACCCGCGCUUCAUACGGUCCGAUUACUACAAGAAUCUACUGGCCAACGGCAAACAACCAUCUCAGAAGAAACGCUUUUUCGGCUUCGGCCCCACCAAGAAGAAGGCCUCGACCACGAUCGCUCAGAAUCAGAACCUGCUCCAGCAGCAGGUGUCUCAGGGAGCGGCAGGGUGCAGCAGCACCUUGACCAAGAGGCGCGGCAGCGACCGCAGCCUGUCCGGUUCCGCGCACGAGCUGGCCGUCUCGGGCAUCAAGGACACGAAGGUGCCACAUUCGCACUCGCAGAGCAACCUCAGCGACAUCCCCUACAGGGGUGAUCUGGCAAACCUACCGAAAGGCGUACCGGCUGCUGCAAUGGUACCUAGCCCAGUGAAGAAGCCGAACGUGGUGGCAGGAGCGUCGACGUCGGAGGAGGUGUGCCCCUGGGAGACGGCGCCCGAACCUAGAUCGCGGAAGAACUCGGGACAGUCGGGGAGUUCCUCCUCGGACAUAAGCGUCGCGGUCGCAGAGAUAUCGGAGAAGGUGCAGAGGACUAACAUCUUGACGCAACAGCACACGGUGGACGGCGGAAAGAAGCUGCUGGUGAACACGACGACGGAACCACCCAGGAGGGCGUCGGUCUCGGUGCCCAUAGCGUACAGCACCGAUCCGACCACCAAGAGGAAGGUGUCCUCGUUCGAGGACAGCACCUCGGCUACCGGCGCGUCGUCUUCGGUGUUCGUCGUUCCCAGUGAUCCGGACAAUAAGACGGAACAGACGGCGGUCGUCGUCUGUAAGACGCUGAAAAAAAGUCACAGCAUCGCGAAGACUUGUUCCGCUAACGCGCCUAUCAUAAGUGUCAGUUCGGUGGCGGACGAUCUGACAGACGACGAGGUCAGGCAGGACGCGACCGGAGAGAAGCAGGAGGCGGGAUGCAGCUUCCAUCAGACGAUCGAACCGCUGGCGCCGCUCGCCGAGCCGGACAGCGAGUCUCCCGCCAGCGAGCUGCCGCCCUCGGAGGUGCACCUGGACGAGGAGGCCAAAAGUAACGACGUCUGCCCGUGGGAAGACGAGUAAGUUACGGCAAGUGCACUUGUGACACCUUCUAGCUCUCUAGGCACCUUCCCCACGCUUAGCUCAGGGGAGGCCUGCAAGGUGGACACGCCGUUCGUCAAGACCUACGCAACGCUCGGCUACCUUUAGCAGAAGGAGAGGUGCGUCCAGAUCUGCUUGGUAAAAACGGCCUACAUGACUCCCGCACCGUUUAUUCCUCACCGAUCUUAAUCCAGUCAUCCCUUCAUCUUUACGCGCGAGAAGUCUGAAACCUCCCUUCCCCCGUUCCCGAAACGGUAUCGUGAAACGUUCGAAAGUCGUCGCGUCACUAGUCGUAGCGAAAUUCAGAAGGUUAGAUCGUUAGUUUUACAUGUCGAUUCUCUUCUAGCAAUAGGUAUAAAGAAGGCUGGAUUAUACCCGUUUACAAGCGACGAUAUCUCAAGAUGAAACUCGGUUCUUAAUACGAAUUUUCGGUAAUAUUUCCCGCUAAAUCCUUAAUUCUACGCUUGUACGUUCUCCAAAACUCAAAAGCACAGAACACAAAUAUCAAAAGUGACAGAGGUUGAAAUUCGGGUCAUAGAAAAAUUUUGAAUGUCAUGAAAGUGUCAUCAGGAUAGACCACUGAAAAAUAUGUUCCGUAACGAACGUACCCUUUUCGGAAGAUGCGAGAACCGCGGAUGAGUGUCCAGCUGACGAUGUAAUCGAAGAUGGACACCGAUGUUGAGCCCUUAGUCCGUCUCCAUCUCAGAUUUAUCGUCUCUCGACAUCGGAUCUGAGUCGCGCACCAAUUUUGACUAUUUCAAAAUAACUUAUCGAUAUAUGUAAAUGUAUCUGUUUAAUAUAAUUAUAAUAGUACGUGUGGUAGAGGCAAAGAUACAUAAACAUUUUGAUUGAUUAACGGUGCAGGUUGUCAGUCAAAACGGAAAAAAAUUUAAAAAAAAGUUCGAGUCAACCAGUAAAUUAUUGAUGCACAAGUAGUAUGCCUAUCUCUCUGUCGUGUUAAAGUUAGGUUAGAAUUUAUUCGGGUAUAAGUGUCGUAGUUUGUAGGUUUUGUUAUUAAUCAUGAUAAUGUUUGGGUCUCGGGUCCAUAUCUUGGGUUCUGCACCUCGAACGGGUACGACCAUAGAAAAUCAAUAUCACGGUAUGAGAAAAUCAUAGAAUAUCACGUGAUUUUCAAUCGGAUGAACAUAACAAAGAACCACAGAAUUCAAUAGAUUUUGCUUCACUUCCGUGAAGGAAAAACUCAAAUUACGUUGAAAUCCAAACAGAUACUCAACAAAUUUCUAAUGAACGGAAAAUUUGAUAUUCUUCAAUUAUCUGAAAAACCUGUCGGAGGAUGUUACUCUUUGUGUAGGAAAUGUUUUGAGGAAUAUAAGGAAACAAUGACAUGUUUAUAUUCUUUAUUGUCCAACUCAUUCACAGAAUAAUAUACAUAUUUGAAUUAUGAGAAAACAACACAGAAAACAAUAUAAAAAUAUCAUUAUGAAAAAAAUCAAAAUGAUGCCAAAUGGAAACAUUCCAUUUCAUUAUAAUUAAUUUAAGAAAUUUUGCUUUUCAUCUUGAGAUACCUGAAUUAAGAAUGAUAAUUUCAACAUUCAACCAAAAAAUAAUAGCGUAACAACAUAAAAAGAUACCUAUAAUAUAAUUUUAAAGCUCGAGCCAUCAUGUUUUCCCUAACCAAAAAAAAAAUUCACACCUUUCCAUCAAAUUCUCUCACAGACUGUCUUCAUCCACGAAUCAGGAAGUAUUUAUACAAUGAAUGUUAUUACUCGUGACCUCCUGUGUGUCGAUUUUUGACUAAUACAAAUAUUUAUUCUACUUUUCUGAAAUAUUUAAUCGAUGGGCAAGAUUUUUCAAGAAUAGAAAUUUAUGAUAAACUCGCUUUAAAAGAAUUGUACUCCCGCCAUAUCUGCUGCGGAAAAUUGUUUGAAAUUUGUAGAAAAAAGGAUGGGAAGUUAGAGGAGGCCUCAAUUGGACAUAAAUUUAUUGAAUGUAUAUAUAUAAAAAUUAUUAUAUUAUAUCGCAAUUAAUACUCAAAAUAGUGGGAACUGCGCAUCGAAAUUCGCUAAAUGUUUAAAAAAAAAUUGGAUUGUGUGAAACGAUCCUUAGCUCGUCCUUCUUGGAAGGAUAAAACGACUUUAUUAAGAUUAGAUUGAAUAGCCACUGGUUGUUCUUCAGUUAGAGCUCGAUGUUGAGUUUGAUGUGAUAGUUCCCGUUCCGGCAAACAAAGCUAUUUUGAAAUAUUUUGAUUUUUUCUUGUUUUCACCUUUUUUCCUCGAAAAUGCGAUCAGAGUAAUUUGUUAGUGAUGUAAAUAGUUUUAUAAACAGUAUUAGCUACUACCAUGAUUGAAAUGUUACUUACUAUUCAGUGUCCUUGGAUUCGUUUCAUUUAUUAGAAUUGUUGAUAGAAAAUGUUAUUAUUGUAGGAAAUAAAAUGGAAUACAAAAUUA
This is an RNA transcript of Coccinella septempunctata (seven-spotted ladybird), 5187 nucleotides long. It is a transcript of the gene named regulator of G-protein signaling 7, with no coding region annotated. NCBI's taxonomy places the organism in Eukaryota, Metazoa, Arthropoda, Insecta, Coleoptera, Coccinellidae. The transcript has 13 exons. The record is from RefSeq and is a predicted model, not a curated record.